GAUGAACGCUAGCGGCAGGCUUAACACAUGCAAGUCGAGGGGUAUAGUUCUUCGGAAUUAGAGACCGGCGCACGGGUGCGUAACGCGUAUGCAAUCUACCUUUCACAGAGGGAUAGCCCCAGAGAAAUUUGGAUUAAUACCUCAUAGUAUAGCAGUUUCGCAUGAAACCACUAUUAAAGUCACAACGGUGAAAGAUGAGCAUGCGUCCCAUUAGCUAGUUGGUAAGGUAACGGCUUACCAAGGCAACGAUGGGUAGGGUCCUGAGAGGGAGAUCCCCCACACUGGUACUGAGACACGGACCAGACUCCUACGGGAGGCAGCAGUGAGGAAUAUUGGACAAUGGGCGCAAGCCUGAUCCAGCCAU
RNAcentral lists this ribosomal RNA (364 nucleotides) under uncultured bacterium. RNAcentral describes it as "bacterial SSU rRNA". It matches the Rfam family "Bacterial small subunit ribosomal RNA", at positions 28 to 395 of the family's 1533-position model. The record is from RNAcentral.